GUACACGCUGUGACUAGCAUAUCAAUAAGCGGAGGAAAAGAAACUAACAAGGAUUCCCCUAGUAACGGCGAGUGAAGCGGGAAGAGCUCAAAUUUGAAAUCUUAAAGGGUUUCCCUUUACGAAUUGUAGUUUAAAGAAGUGUUUUCUGUUGAGGUUUUGGUAAAAGUUCUUUGGAAUAGGACAUCAUAGAGGGUGAGAAUCCCGUAUUUGACCUUUACUUUCAACUUUGUGAUACACUUUCAAAGAGUCGGAUUGUUUGGGAAUGCAGUCCAAAAUGGGUGGUAAAUUUCAUCUAAAGCUAAAUAUUGGCGAGAGACCGAUAGCGAACAAGUACCGUGAGGGAAAGAUGAAAAGAACUUUGAAAAGAGAGUUAAACAGUACGUGAAAUUGUCAAAAGGGAAGCGUUUGACACCAGUGUCGUUUUUCUGAAAAUCAAUUAAAGAACUGUUUAUGCUAAGCUGUUUAGACUUUAUCAGCUGACUGUUUAGUUUUGAGCUUUUCUUUAAUGCACUUUUCAGUUAACAAGUCGACAUCAAUUUCUUUUGCUGUAAAAAAGCUUGAGGAAGGUGGCUUGAGAUUCGUCUUAAGUGUUUAUAGCCUCUUGCCUAUGCAGUCGGGAGAGAUUGAGGUCUGCAGCGUAGAUCCUUCGGGGCUAAAUGCAUUUGUGCUAAGUUAUAGCAUUUUAUAGACAACUUGUUGACUAUGAUUAGUCUUGUAGCUUACUCGCUUAUGCUAUUUUACCUACGCUUAGGAUGUUGAGCGCAUGUCUCUCUCU
Molecule: ribosomal RNA, 775 nt
Filed under: uncultured Neocallimastigales
Lineage: Eukaryota; Fungi; Neocallimastigomycota; Neocallimastigomycetes; Neocallimastigales
Description: partial large subunit ribosomal RNA
Rfam family: Eukaryotic large subunit ribosomal RNA
Source: RNAcentral